This 162-nucleotide unclassified non-coding RNA is filed under the name soil metagenome. Its description in RNAcentral is "partial internal transcribed spacer 1". The record is from RNAcentral.
CAGAGAACAUCGCCUGUAUAGGUGACUCUCCAACCCUAUGUUAUGUAUACCCUUUGUUGCUUUGGCGAGCCGCUGCCGGCCACCGGCUCACGCUGGUGAGUGCUCGCCAGAGGACCCUCAACUCUGUUUAUAUAUGUCGGUCUGAGUACUAUAUAAUAGUUA